This 663-nucleotide ribosomal RNA is filed under the name uncultured fungus. RNAcentral describes it as "eukaryotic LSU rRNA". It matches the Rfam family "Eukaryotic large subunit ribosomal RNA", at positions 24 to 664 of the family's 3401-position model. The record is from RNAcentral. Lineage: Eukaryota; Fungi.
CCCGCUGAACUUAAGCAUAUCAAUAAGCGGAGGAAAAGAAACUAACAAGGAUUCCCCUAGUAACUGCGAGUGAAGCGGGAAAAGCUCAAAUUUGAAAUCUGGGGGUCCCUUGACCGUCCGAGUUGUAAUCUAGAGAAGUGUUACCUGUGCUGGACCGUGUACAAGUCUCCUGGAAUGGAGCAUCAUAGAGGGUGAGAAUCCCGUCUUUGACAUGGACUACCUGCACGUUGUGGUGCGCUCUCAAAGAGUCGAGUUGUUUGGGAAUGCAGCUCAAAAUGGGUGGUAAAUGCCAUCUAAAGCUAAAUAUUGGCGAGAGACCGAUAGCGAACAAGUACCGUGAGGGAAAGAUGAAAAGAACUUUGGAAAGAGAGUUAAACAGUACGUGAAAUUGCUGAAAGGGAAACGCUUGAAGUCAGUCACGUUGGCUAGAAAUCAGCCUUGCUUUUGCUUGGUGUACUUUUUGGUUGACGGGUCAGCAUCAAUUUUGACCAUUGGAUAAAGUCUUGGGGAAUGUGGCAUCCUUUUGGAUGUGUUAUAGCCCAUUGUCGCAUACGGUGGUUGGGAUUGAAGAAAGCAGCAGGCUACAAGGGGUGGACAAUUAUGACCACGCUCAGGCUUAGGAUGCUGGCAUAAUGGCUAUAAUCGACCCGUCUUGAAACACGG